RNAcentral lists this ribosomal RNA (1609 nucleotides) under freshwater bacterium LH6-2. RNAcentral's name for it is "bacterial LSU rRNA". It matches the Rfam family "Bacterial large subunit ribosomal RNA", at positions 1296 to 2925 of the family's 2925-position model. The record is from RNAcentral.
GUAGGCAUAAGUAACGAUAAGGCAGGUGAGAACCCUGCCCACCGAUAGACUAAGGGUUCCGCGGCAAUGUCAAUCAGCCGCGGGUAAGUCGGGAUCUAAGUCGAAGCCGAAGGGCGUAGAUGAUGACCAACGGGUUAAUAUUCCCGUACUACCCUGAUGAGCGAUGGAGGGACGGAGUAGUGAAAGUUCCGCGUACAGACGAAAUAGUACGUUUAAGGGCGUAGGUAUAGGUUGUGCAGGUAAAUCCGCACGAUUUGCUGAAACCUGAAAGUAGCAGGAGGCUUCGGCCGAAUGCAGUGGACGUAAUCAGACUUCCGAGAAAAACUUCUAAGCAUAUUGUCAGGGUACCCGUACCGCAAACCGACACAGGUAGUCAAGGAGAGAAUCCUAAGGUGCUCGAGUGAAUCAUGGCUAAGGAACUCGGCAAAAUAAUCCUGUAACUUCGGGAGAAGGGAUGCCUCGUUCUAGCAAUAGAAAAGGUCGCAGAGAAAUGGCCCAGGCGACUGUUUAACAAAAACACAUGGCUAUGCGAAAUCGAAAGAUGAAGUAUAUGGCCUGACACCUGCCCGGUGCUGGAAGGUUAAGGGGGGACGUUAGUCGCAAGACAAAGCGUUGAACUGAAGCCCCAGUAAACGGCGGCCGUAACUAUAACGGUCCUAAGGUAGCGAAAUUCCUUGUCGGGUAAGUUCCGACCUGCACGAAUGGUGUAACGAUCUGGGCGCUGUCUCAGCCAUGAGCUCGGUGAAAUUGUAGUCACGGUGAAGAUGCCGUGUACCCGUCACGGGACGGAAAGACCCCAUGAACCUUUACUAUAGCUUCACAUUGGUAUUGGGAGAAUGAUGUGUAGGAUAGGCGGGAGGCAAUGAUCCCGGGCCGCUAGGUUCGGGGGAGUCAACGGUGAAAUACCGCCCUUUAUUUUCUUGAUGCCUAAUCACGCGUAAGUGUGAGACAUUGUGUGGUGGGUAGUUUGACUGGGGUGGUCGCCUCCGAAAGUGUAUCGGAGGCUUUCAAAGGUACCCUCAGUACGGUUGGUAAUCGUACGUGGAGUGCAAUAGCAUAAGGGUGCUUGACUGUGAGACAGACGUGUCGAGCAGGGACGAAAGUUGGAUAUAGUGAUCCGGUGGUUCUGUAUGGAAGGGCCAUCGCUCAAAGGAUAAAAGGUACUCUGGGGAUAACAGGCUGAUCUCCCCCAAGAGCUCAUAUCGACGGGGAGGUUUGGCACCUCGAUGUCGGCUCGUCACAUCCUGGGGCUGGAGAAGGUCCCAAGGGUUAGGCUGUUCGCCUAUUAAAGUGGCACGCGAGCUGGGUUCAGAACGUCGUGAGACAGUUCGGUCCCUAUCUGUGAUGGGCGCAGGAAGUUUGAGAGGCUCUGACCUUAGUACGAGAGGACCGGGUUGGACCAACCGCUGGUGUACCGGUUGUCGUGUCAGCGGCACGGCCGGGUAGCUAUGUUGGGAGAGGAUAAGCGCUGAAAGCAUCUAAGCGCGAACCCCACCUCGAGAUGAGACUUCCUUACAGGGACGUGGGAGACUACCACGUUGAUAGGCUGCAGGUGUAAAGUCAGAGAUGGCAAAGCUGAGCAGUACUAAUGACCCAAACGCUUCAGAGA